UGUUCAGUAUUUAUUUGCUUCCUCAAAAUUAGUUAGUCCACAAUUUUCUUUAGUUUAAUGAGCACCGCCUGAUAAAAAAAGGAAGAAAUAUAUAUACUUUAACACAUUUUUCAUUACUCCAGUAAUAAGAUUAGUGACAAAUUCAGAACUAUAAUUUCUACUUACUCACGUUUACUUCUUGGGAUAUUUAUUGCAAACUAGAGGACUUAAACCUUUUUUCAUAUAUUAUGUAAUAUAGUUCCUCAUGCUAUAAAACUAAAUUGAGGCACAUAAUAGUAACCAAAUGCUUUAAAAACCAAAAGUGAGACUCUAAAAUUAUAUGAGCAGGAAAUAUAUAAGCAUAAGAAAGAAACCAUCAGGAAAAAAAAUUAAUAUUAGAACAUGACAAAAUAGACAAGGAAACAUCGACAAACAAAUAUCAUUCGAGUCUAAAGCAAGUAUCUACUAAUAUUUAAUGUGCCUUUAAUCAUUAAUCAAGAAAGGGCUGAGCUAUAUUCUAUUUAAAUUAUAAUCAAACUCAUAAUGUAUCCUCAGAAUCAAACUCGUCCUCCUCUUAUUCAAACUCAUCCUCUGUUUCAAGCUCGUCUUCUGAUUCAUUGCAAAUCUGUAAUAAAAAGCACAUUAAAACAUCUCGUUCAAUUGGGCAGUAAUAACUCUAAGUUUGAAAUCAAUAUCAUGCAAUAGAAGUUAGAUAAUUGCCACUGUAAAAGUAACUCCAACGUCUCUUAGGUACACAUAGGACCAUAUAUCCAUCAAACCAUACUUUCGAACCAGAUUAAGAAGUGAAUAUACAUAUAAAAAAGGAUAUUAAAAGUGUUAAAACCUGAUAACUUCAAAUAAGUGUUAAACCUGAUAACUUCAAAUAAACAAUCACUAUAUAACUACACUGAAUUUGCAAAAAAUAAAGGUGAAUAAUAUAAAAAUUUAGAAAUUGAAAAUACCCAAAUUCACAAUAUGAGGCAAAAAGUGGAUUCAAAAAUCUGGAAUAAUUUAGUUUCUAGCUAUUCAAUGAUUGUGAUACUUACCUAACUACAUUGUCUUCGUUUGCUAUUCAUCAUGCUACAGGAAUCUAUACUUUCUUUUCCACCAUUAUUAUUUACAAAGUAAACUUUAAAUAGUCUAUCAAGAAAUAUAACUUUUUGCAACAAAAAUAUUAACUACCUAAAAAGAUAAAGAUCGCCAAAAUGCAAGAUCAUAAAUUGGGAAAGUAAAGAGUACCUAUUAGAGACUUUUUCAUGAGAUGAGUUUUAUCUAAAUUAACUUUGUAGAGGCUUGUUCAGUUCUUUCUUUCUUGGGAUUAGAAAAUUAAAGAAAACAGAGAUGGCCAGAAUAUAACUAGAUCUAAAAGCCUGAGAACUUACAAUUCUAAAAGAAAUAGAAGAACAGC
This 1387-nucleotide long non-coding RNA is filed under the name Nicotiana tabacum (common tobacco). Its description in RNAcentral is "long non-coding RNA (NTAB_LNC012190)". Lineage: Eukaryota; Viridiplantae; Streptophyta; Magnoliopsida; Solanales; Solanaceae. The record is from RNAcentral.